This 460-nucleotide long non-coding RNA is filed under the name Ananas comosus (pineapple). Its description in RNAcentral is "long non-coding RNA (ACOM_LNC036477)". The record is from RNAcentral. Lineage: Eukaryota; Viridiplantae; Streptophyta; Magnoliopsida; Poales; Bromeliaceae.
CGGGUGAUGAAUCUGAGGAGGACGAGCAGGAUUGGGAGACUUUUGUUCCUGAAGUUUUAGCUAAGGAAAAGGACGCUGGGAAAGGCAAGGGAAAAGGAAAAGCUGUGGAUAAAGGCAAAGGAAAAGCAACUGAACGUCCCAGUCGUCGUCAGUCCGGGGGUGUUGAAAUUCGAGAACCAGGCUCUGAACCACCACGUCGCAGUCUACAGGAUGUUCCAUCUAAUCGACGGUCAAUGUAUUCGUCGAAACACUGCAUUGGUGAGCGAGAUGUUGGGGUGGCCAGUAUUAUUAGUUGUGUGCCGGGUUUUCAGGAUUUGUUUGAACAGGGGAAUCUUCAUCAGAUUUGUGAUUUCCCGGAGCAUACCGGUUAUUGUUUGGAGUUGAUCAGAGAAUUUUACAUGAGAGCAGGUCACCUCAGUGACUCCGACGGGGGUCCGUACGUGUUUAAGACUUCUGUCCG